This 75-nucleotide transfer RNA is filed under the name Flavobacteriales bacterium. Its description in RNAcentral is "tRNA-Gly". It matches the Rfam family "tRNA". Rfam says of the family: Transfer RNA (tRNA) molecules are approximately 80 nucleotides in length. Their secondary structure includes four short double-helical elements and three loops (D, anti-codon, and T loops). The record is from RNAcentral. Lineage: Bacteria; Pseudomonadati; Bacteroidota; Flavobacteriia; Flavobacteriales.
GCGAAAGUAGCUCAGUGGUAGAGCAUAACCUUGCCAAGGUUGGGGUCGCGAGUUCGAAUCUCGUUUUUCGCUCCA